GACGAACCGUGCGAACGUUAUUCGGAAUCACUGGGCUUAAAGCGCGUGUAGGCGGGCCGGCCCGUCGGCCGCUGAAAUCCCCCGGCUCAACCGGGGAACGGGCGCCGAUACGACCGGCCUGGAGCGAGGUAGGGGGCGCCGGAACUCACGGUGGAGCGGUGAAAUGCGUUGAGAUCGUGAGGAACGCCCGUGGCGAAAGCGGGCGCCUGGACCUCCGCUGACGCUGAGACGCGAAAGCCAGGGGAGCGAACGGG
This 254-nucleotide ribosomal RNA is filed under the name uncultured bacterium. Its description in RNAcentral is "partial 16S ribosomal RNA". It matches the Rfam family "Bacterial small subunit ribosomal RNA", at positions 524 to 776 of the family's 1533-position model. The record is from RNAcentral.